This 453-nucleotide ribosomal RNA is filed under the name uncultured bacterium. RNAcentral's name for it is "bacterial SSU rRNA". It matches the Rfam family "Bacterial small subunit ribosomal RNA", at positions 340 to 786 of the family's 1533-position model. The record is from RNAcentral.
UACGGAAGGCAGCGGGGGGAAUAUUGCACAAUGGGCGCAAGCCUGAUGCAGCCAUGCCGCGUGUAUGAAGAAGGCCUUCGGGUUGUAAAGUACUUUCAGUCGUGAGGAAGGUGUUAAGGUUAAUAACCUUAGCAAUUGACGUUAGCGACAGAAGAAGCACCGGCUAACUCCGUGCCAGCAGCCGCGGUAAUACGGAGGGUGCGAGCGUUAAUCGGAAUUACUGGGCGUAAAGGGCACGCAGGCGGUUAAUUAAGUUGGAUGUGAAAUCCCCGGGCUUAACCUGGGAAUGGCAUUCAAGACUGGUUAGCUAGAGUCCUGUAGAGGGGGUAGAAUUCCAUGUGUAGCGGUGAAAUGCGUAGAGAUGUGGAGGAAUACCGGUGGCGAAGGCGGCCCCUGGACAAAGACUGACGCUCAUGUGCGAAAAGCUGGGGAGCAAAACGAGGAUUAGAUACC